UACGUAGGGUGCAAGCGUUGUCCGGAAUUAUUGGGCGUAAAGAGCUCGUAGGCGGUCUGUCGCGUCUGCUGUGAAAACUCGGGGCUUAACUUCGGGCUUGCAGUGGGUACGGGCAGACUGGAGUGCGGUAGGGGAGACUGGAAUUCCUGGUGUAGCGGUGAAAUGCGCAGAUAUCAGGAGGAACACCGGUGGCGAAGGCGGGUCUCUGGGCCGUAACUGACGCUGAGGAGCGAGAGCGUGGGGAGCGAACAGG
Molecule: ribosomal RNA, 253 nt
Filed under: uncultured Kineosporia sp.
Lineage: Bacteria; Bacillati; Actinomycetota; Actinomycetes; Kineosporiales; Kineosporiaceae
Description: partial 16S ribosomal RNA
Rfam family: Bacterial small subunit ribosomal RNA
Source: RNAcentral